Molecule: non-coding RNA, 31 nt
Filed under: Mus musculus (house mouse)
Lineage: Eukaryota; Metazoa; Chordata; Mammalia; Rodentia; Muridae
Source: RNAcentral
UGAGAUGCCAAGUGUCUUUGUCUUUCCCAGC